UCGAACGAUGAAGCCCUUCGGGGUGGAUUAGUGGCGAACGGGUGAGUAACACGUGGGCAAUCUGCCCUUCACUCUGGGACAAGCCCUGGAAACGGGGUCUAAUACCGGAUAACACUCUGUCCCGCAUGGGACGGGGUUGAAAGCUCCGGCGGUGAAGGAUGAGCCCGCGGCCUAUCAGCUUGUUGGUGGGGUAAUGGCCUACCAAGGCGACGACGGGUAGCCGGCCUGAGAGGGCGACCGGCCACACUGGGACUGAGACACGGCCCAGACUCCUACGGGAGGCAGCAGUGGGGAAUAUUGCACAAUGGGCGAAAGCCUGAUGCAGCGACGCCGCGUGAGGGAUGACGGCCUUCGGGUUGUAAACCUCUUUCAGCAGGGAAGAAGCGAAAGUGACGGUACCUGCAGAAGAAGCGCCGGCUAACUACGUGCCAGCAGCCGCGGUAAUACGUAGGGCGCAAGCGUUGUCCGGAAUUAUUGGGCGUAAAGAGCUCGUAGGCGGCUUGUCACGUCGGAUGUGAAAGCCCGGGGCUUAACCCCGGGUCUGCAUUCGAUACGGGCUAGCUAGAGUGUGGUAGGGGAGAUCGGAAUUCCUGGUGUAGCGGUGAAAUGCGCAGAUAUCAGGAGGAACACCGGUGGCGAAGGCGGAUCUCUGGGCCAUUACUGACGCUGAGGAGCGAAAGCGUGGGGAGCGAACAGGAUUAGAUACCCUGGUAGUCCACGCCGUAAACGUUGGGAACUAGGUGUUGGCGACAUUCCACGUCGUCGGUGCCG
This 771-nucleotide ribosomal RNA is filed under the name Streptomyces badius. RNAcentral describes it as "bacterial SSU rRNA". It matches the Rfam family "Bacterial small subunit ribosomal RNA", at positions 62 to 848 of the family's 1533-position model. Lineage: Bacteria; Bacillati; Actinomycetota; Actinomycetes; Kitasatosporales; Streptomycetaceae. The record is from RNAcentral.